This 253-nucleotide ribosomal RNA is filed under the name uncultured bacterium. RNAcentral's name for it is "partial 16S ribosomal RNA". It matches the Rfam family "Bacterial small subunit ribosomal RNA", at positions 524 to 776 of the family's 1533-position model. The record is from RNAcentral.
UACGUAGGUGGCAAGCGUUGUCCGGAAUUAUUGGGCGUAAAGCGCGCGCAGGCGGUCCUUUAAGUCUGAUGUGAAAGCCCACGGCUCAACCGUGGAGGGUCAUUGGAAACUGGGGGACUUGAGUGCAGGAGAGAAGAGUGGAAUUCCACGUGUAGCGGUGAAAUGCGUAGAGAUGUGGAGGAACACCAGUGGCGAAGGCGACACGCUGGGCCAUACCUGACGCUAAAGCGCGACAGCAUGGGGAGCAAACGGG